This 203-nucleotide ribosomal RNA is filed under the name uncultured bacterium. RNAcentral's name for it is "partial 16S ribosomal RNA". It matches the Rfam family "Bacterial small subunit ribosomal RNA", at positions 568 to 771 of the family's 1533-position model. The record is from RNAcentral.
CUCGUAGGUGGCCAAUUAAGUCAGACGUGAAAUCCCCAAGCUUAACUUGGGAACUGCGUCUGAUACUGAGUGGCUUGAAUUCGGGAGAGGGAUGCAGAAUUCCAGGUGUAGCGGUGAAAUGCGUAGAUAUCUGGAGGAAUACCGGUGGCGAAGGCGGCAUCCUGGACCGAGAUUGACACUGAGGAGCGAAAGCCAGGGAGCAA